RNAcentral lists this long non-coding RNA (257 nucleotides) under Elaeis guineensis (African oil palm). Its description in RNAcentral is "long non-coding RNA (EGUI_LNC024522)". Lineage: Eukaryota; Viridiplantae; Streptophyta; Magnoliopsida; Arecales; Arecaceae. The record is from RNAcentral.
AAAUCAUGGGUCAGAGGACAUGGCAACCACUGUAUACUUAUGGAGAGCACUCCCCACAGGCAUGCAAGGCAUCUCCAUACGAUAUCAAAAGCAUCACAAUAGAGAUAAUUAAAAGUCAAAAUUCAAUCAACUACCAAAUCUAAUUGAUAAAUAAAAUUCAAAAUUCUGACAUCCAUUGAACCUCAAAUAAAGGAUCUAUAAAAUAUAAUAAUAAAUCAUAUCAAUUAUCAUGUCUCUGAUUCGAGAUUGUGAGCUAG